CCCUUACGGGGAAAGAUUUAUCGCCGAAAGAUCGGCCCGCGUCUGAUUAGCUAGUUGGUGAGGUAACGGCUCACCAAGGCGACGAUCAGUAGCUGGUCUGAGAGGAUGAUCAGCCACAUUGGGACUGAGACACGGCCCAAACUCCUACGGGAGGCAGCAGUGGGGAAUAUUGGACAAUGGGGGGCAACCCCUGAUCCAGCCAUGCCGCGGUGAGUGAUGAAGGCCCUAGGGUUGUAAAGCUCUUUUGUGCGGGAAGAUAAUGACGGUACCGCAAGAAUAAGCCCCGGCUAACUUCGUGCCAGUUUUUUUUCGGUAAUACGAAGGGGGCUAGCGUUGCUCGGAAUCACUGGGCGUAAAGGGUGCGUAGGCGGGUCUUUAAGUCAGGGGUGAAAUCCUGGAGCUCAACUCCAGAACUGCCUUUGAUACUGAAGAUCUUGAGUUCGGGAGAGGUGAGUGGAACUGCGAGUGUAGAGGUGAAAUUCGUAGAUAUUCGCAAGAACACCAGUGGCGAAGGCGGCUCACUGGCCCGAUACUGACGCUGAGGCACGAAAGCGUGGGGAGCAAACAGGAUUAGAUACCCUGGUAGCCCACGCCGUAAACGAUGAAUGCCAGCCGUUAGUGGGGUUUACUCACUAGUGGGCGCAGCUAACGCUUUAAAGCAUUCCG
This 666-nucleotide ribosomal RNA is filed under the name Bradyrhizobium sp. RNAcentral describes it as "bacterial SSU rRNA". It matches the Rfam family "Bacterial small subunit ribosomal RNA", at positions 192 to 871 of the family's 1533-position model. Lineage: Bacteria; Pseudomonadati; Pseudomonadota; Alphaproteobacteria; Hyphomicrobiales; Nitrobacteraceae. The record is from RNAcentral.